RNAcentral lists this ribosomal RNA (451 nucleotides) under uncultured bacterium. Its description in RNAcentral is "bacterial SSU rRNA". It matches the Rfam family "Bacterial small subunit ribosomal RNA", at positions 328 to 794 of the family's 1533-position model. The record is from RNAcentral.
UCCCCAGACUCCUACGGGAGGCAGCAGUGGGGAAUAUUGCACAAUGGGGGGAACCCUGAUGCAGCGACGCCGCGUGGGUGAAGGAGUAUUUCGGUAUGUAAAGCCCUAUCAGCAGGGAAGAACAAUGACGGUACCUGACUAAGAAGCACCGGCUAAAUACGUGCCAGCAGCCGCGGUAAUGCGUAUGGUGCAAGCGUUAUCCGGAUUUACUGGGUGUAAAGGGAGCGCAGGCGGCGCGUUAAGCCUGGUGUGAAAGCCCGCGGCCCAACCGCGGGACUGCAUUGGGAACUGGCGCGCUGGAGUGCCGGAGGGGUAGGCGGAAUUCCUAGUGUAGCGGUGAAAUGCGUAGAUAUCAGGAGGAACACCGGCGGCGAAGGCGGCCUGCUGGACCGCGACUGACGUUGAGGCUCGAAAGCGUGGGGAGCGAACAGGAUUAGAUACCCUCGUAAGA